RNAcentral lists this ribosomal RNA (501 nucleotides) under uncultured bacterium. RNAcentral's name for it is "partial 16S ribosomal RNA". It matches the Rfam family "Bacterial small subunit ribosomal RNA", at positions 30 to 523 of the family's 1533-position model. The record is from RNAcentral.
AUUGAACGCUGGCGGCAGGCUUAACACAUGCAAGUCGAGCGGGGAAGGGUAGCUUGCUACCUAACCUAGCGGCGGACGGGUGAGUAAUGCUUAGGAAUCUGCCAUUUAGUGGGGGACAACAUUCCGAAAGGAAUGCUAAUACCGCAUACGUCCUACGCGAGAAAGCAGGGGAUCUACGGACCUUGCGCUCAAUUAUGAGCCCAAGUCGGAUUAGCUAGUUGGUGGGGUAAAGGCCUACCAAGGCGACGAUCUGUAGCGGGUCUGAGAGGAUGAUCCGCCACACUGGGACUGAGACACGGCCCAGACUCCUACGGGAGGCAGCAGUGGGGAAUAUUGGACAAUGGGCGGAAGCCUGAUCCAGCCAUGCCGCGUGUGUGAAGAAGGCCUUAUGGUUGUAAAGCACUUUAAGCGAGGAGGAGGCUACUAGUAUUAAUACUACUGGAUAGUGGACGUUACUCGCAGAAUAAGCACCGGCUAACUCUGUGCCAGCAGCCGCGGUAA